GUGCAGCAGGCGAGAAAACUUUGCAAUGUGCGAAAGCACGACAAGGUUAAUCCGAGUGGUUUCUGCUAAAGGAACCUUUUGUUAGUCAUAGAACCACUAAUGAAUAAGGGGUGGGCAAGUUCUGGUGUCAGCCGCCGCGGUAAAACCAGCACCUCAAGUGGUCAGGAUGAUUAUUGGGCCUAAAGCAUCCGUAGCCUGCUUUGCCAGUUUUCGGUUAAAUCCAUACGCUCAACGUAUGGGCUGCCGGGAAUACUACAAAGCUAGGGAGUGGGAGAGGUAGACGGUACUCGGUAGGAAGGGGUAAGAUCCUUUGAUCUAUUGAUGACCACCUGUGGCGAAGGCGGUCUACCAGAACACGUCCGACGGUGAGGGAUGAAAGCUGGGGGAGCAAACCGGAUUAGAUACCCCUGUAGUCC
Molecule: ribosomal RNA, 416 nt
Filed under: uncultured crenarchaeote
Lineage: Archaea; Thermoproteati; Thermoproteota
Description: bacterial SSU rRNA
Rfam family: Archaeal small subunit ribosomal RNA
Source: RNAcentral